GUGAGUGAGCUGCUCCUGUGGCAGGUACAGGCAGAUGCUGCAUAACUUGAAGAUUGUAGCUUUGUUUUUUGGAGUCUGCAAGUGCUGUCUGUCAAUGAAGAGAAACACUGACUGGGUAGGGUUGUUGACAACAAUUCCAGUCUUGUCCUUUCGGCUCAGAACAUGCAGAAACUGUUUUUCGUAGUCACCAUGAUGAAACUCAAACUUGGCCUGAACAGGCCUAAAAGGUUCAUCAGAUCCCUUCCACCGAGAAAACAGGAGACAGACUAUCUUCUCAAUGUCAUUACGAGGCCAAAGAAUGAAGUCCAUCUCCUGGGUACAGCC
Molecule: long non-coding RNA, 324 nt
Filed under: Gallus gallus (chicken)
Lineage: Eukaryota; Metazoa; Chordata; Aves; Galliformes; Phasianidae
Source: RNAcentral